RNAcentral lists this ribosomal RNA (314 nucleotides) under Treponema sp. RNAcentral's name for it is "partial 23S ribosomal RNA". It matches the Rfam family "Bacterial large subunit ribosomal RNA", at positions 2618 to 2925 of the family's 2925-position model. Lineage: Bacteria; Pseudomonadati; Spirochaetota; Spirochaetia; Treponematales; Treponemataceae. The record is from RNAcentral.
GUCGUGAGACAGUUCGGUCCCUAUCUGAUAUGGGCGUUGGAAAUUUGAGUGGAUCUGCCUUUAGUACGAGAGGACCGAGGUGGACGAAGCUCUGGUUUACCGGUUGUCGCGCCAGCGGCAAGUGCCGGGUAGCUAACUUCGGAACGGAUAACCGCUGAAAGCAUCUAAGUGGGAAUCCGGCCACGAGAUUAGAUUUCCCUGGGAGUUCAACUCCCCUGAAGACUCCUCAGAUACUAUGAGGUUGAUAGGUUGCAGGUGUAAGUGCCGCGAGGUAUUCAGCCGAGCAAUACUAAUAAGUCGUGAGGCUUGGCCUU